AAGUCGUAACAAGGUUUCCGUAGGUGAACCUGCGGAAGGAUCAAUGCGAAUCAGACAGGGGAGAGUGAGAUGCGUUGGAAUGUGCACGGAGACACCGAACAACAAUGCUUUUUACGAUCUGUAUGACUUGCCACCCGGGAUCUCUGGGCUCUU
Molecule: unclassified non-coding RNA, 153 nt
Filed under: fungal sp.
Lineage: Eukaryota; Fungi
Also listed under: 1 other name
Description: partial internal transcribed spacer region
Rfam family: Eukaryotic small subunit ribosomal RNA (bases 1-46)
Source: RNAcentral